RNAcentral lists this ribosomal RNA (829 nucleotides) under uncultured organism. Its description in RNAcentral is "bacterial SSU rRNA". It matches the Rfam family "Bacterial small subunit ribosomal RNA", at positions 28 to 845 of the family's 1533-position model. The record is from RNAcentral.
GAUGAACGCUAGCGGCAGGCCUAACACAUGCAAGUCGAGGGGCAGCGUAGAUUGCUUGCAAUCUGACGGCGACCGGCGCACGGGUGCGUAACGCGUAUACAAUCUACCUUUUACUAAGGGAUAGCCCAUGGAAACGUGGAUUAAUACCUUAUAGUAUGCAGAUCUCGCAUGAGCAUCUGUAUUAAAGUUUACGGUAAAAGAUGAGUAUGCGUCCUAUUAGCUAUUAUGUAGGGUAACGGCCUACAUAGGCUAUGAUAGGUAGGGGUUCUGAGAGGGAAGCCCCCCACACUGGUACUGAGACACGGACCAGACUCCUACGGGAGGCAGCAGUGAGGAAUAUUGGACAAUGGGAGCAAUCCUGAUCCAGCCAUGCCGCGUGCAGGAAGACGGUCCUAUGGAUUGUAAACUGCUUUUAUACAGGAAGAAAAAGACCGACGUGUCGGUUGUUGACGGUACUGUAUGAAUAAGGAUCGGCUAACUCCGUGCCAGCAGCCGCGGUAAUACGGGGGAUCCGAGCGUUAUCCGGAAUUGUUGGGUUUAAAGGGUCCGUAGGCGGGAUAAUAAGUCAGUGGUGAAAGUUUGUGGCUCAACCAUAAAAUUGCCAUUGAUACUGUUAUUCUUGAGUUAUUGUGAAGUGGUUAGAAUGUGUAGUGUAGCGGUGAAAUGCAUAGAUCUUACACAGAAUACCAAUUGCGAAGGCCAGAUCACUAACAAUGAACUGACGCUGAUGGACGAAAGCGUAGGUAGCGAACCAGGAUUAGAUACCCUGGUAGUCUACGCAGUAAACCGAUGGUNUACUAGCUGUUCCGGUCUAAUUGAGGGCUGAGUG